RNAcentral lists this ribosomal RNA (468 nucleotides) under uncultured bacterium. RNAcentral's name for it is "partial 16S ribosomal RNA". It matches the Rfam family "Bacterial small subunit ribosomal RNA", at positions 28 to 507 of the family's 1533-position model. The record is from RNAcentral.
GACGAACGCUGGCGGCGUGCUUAACACAUGCAAGUCGAACGGAAAGGCCCUGCUUUUGUGGGGUGCUCGAGUGGCGAACGGGUGAGUAACACGUGAGUAACCUGCCCUUGACUUUGGGAUAACUUCAGGAAACUGGGGCUAAUACCGGAUAGGAGCUCCUGCUGCAUGGUGGGGGUUGGAAAGUUUCGGCGGUUGGGGAUGGACUCGCGGCUUAUCAGCUUGUUGGUGGGGUAGUGGCUUACCAAGGCUUUGACGGGUAGCCGGCCUAAGAGGGUUACCGGCCACAUUGGGACUGAGAUACGGCCCAGACUCCUACGGGAGGCAGCAGUGGGGAAUAUUGCACAAUGGGCGGAAGCCUGAUGCAGCAACGCCGCGUGCGGGAUGACGGCCUUCGGGUUGUAAACCGCUUUCGCCUGUGACGAAGCGUGAGUGACGGUAAUGGGUAAAGAAGCACCGGCUAACUACGUG